CCUACGGGAGGCAGCAGUGGGGAAUAUUGCACAAUGGGGGGAACCCUGAUGCAGCGACGCCGCGUGAGUGAAGAAGUGAUUCGUUGUGUAAAGCUCUAUCGGCAGGGAAGAAAAUGACGGUACCUGAGUAAGAAGCCCCGGCUAACUACGUGCCAGCAGCCGCGGUAAUACGUAGGGGGCAAGCGUUAUCCGGAUUUACUGGGUGUAAAGGGGGCGUAGACGGCAGUGCAAGUCUGGAGUGAAAGGCGGGGGCUCAACCCCCGGACUGCCCUUGAAACUGCACGGCUGGAGUGCAGGAGAGGUAAGUGGAAUUCCUAGUGUAGCGGUGAAAUGCGUAGAUAUUAGGAGGAACACCAGUGGCGAAGGCGGCCUACUGGACUGUAACUGACGUUGAGGCUCGAAAGCGUGGGGAGCAAACAGGAUUAGAUACCCGAGUAGUC
This 440-nucleotide ribosomal RNA is filed under the name uncultured bacterium. RNAcentral describes it as "partial 16S ribosomal RNA". It matches the Rfam family "Bacterial small subunit ribosomal RNA", at positions 338 to 795 of the family's 1533-position model. The record is from RNAcentral.